RNAcentral lists this ribosomal RNA (141 nucleotides) under uncultured bacterium. RNAcentral describes it as "partial 16S ribosomal RNA". It matches the Rfam family "Bacterial small subunit ribosomal RNA", at positions 347 to 486 of the family's 1533-position model. The record is from RNAcentral.
GGCAGCAGUGAGGAAUAUUGGUCAAUGGACGAGAGUCUGAACCAGCCAAGUAGCGUGAAGGAUGAAGGUCCUACGGAUUGUAAACUUCUUUUAUAAGGGAAUAAAACCUCCCACGUGUGGGAGCUUGUAUUACCUUAGAAU